This 75-nucleotide transfer RNA is filed under the name Gentiana crassuloides. Its description in RNAcentral is "tRNA-Val". It matches the Rfam family "tRNA". From Rfam's summary of the family: Transfer RNA (tRNA) molecules are approximately 80 nucleotides in length. Their secondary structure includes four short double-helical elements and three loops (D, anti-codon, and T loops). Lineage: Eukaryota; Viridiplantae; Streptophyta; Magnoliopsida; Gentianales; Gentianaceae. The record is from RNAcentral.
AGGGCUAUAGCUCAGUCGGUAGAGCGCCUCGUUUACACACCGAGAAAGUCUACGGUUCGAAUCCGUAUAGCCCUA